GGUGUGGCCAAGAACGCCCCUCUCGAGUUCCAGAACACCAAGCUCAUGACCCGUCUCACCUACACCCUCGACGAGAUCGAGGGUCCCUUCGAGGUUACACCUGACGGAACGGUCAAAUUCGAGGAGAAAGACGGGAUCGACUAUGCUGCUGUGACGGUUCAGCUUCCCGGGGGUGAGCGUGUGCCGUUCCUCUUCACCAUCAAACAGUUGGUGGCCACUGGGAAGCCAGAAAGCUUCAGUGGGGACUUCCUUGUUCCCUCUUACCGAGGUUCCUCUUUCUUGGACCCCAAGGGAAGGGGUGCCUCAACCGGUUAUGACAAUGCUGUUGCUCUGCCUGCUGGUGGCAGAGGAGAUGAGGAGGAACUUGCGAAGGAGAACAACAAAAGUGCUUCAUCUUCCAAAGGGAAAAUCACCUUGAGUGUGACCAAGACCAAGCCAGAAACUGGAGAGGUUAUUGGGGUGUUCGAGAGUGUUCAGCCUUCUGAUACUGAUUUGGGGGCUAAAGCUCCUAAGGAUGUGAAGAUCCAAGGUGUCUGGUAUGCUCAACUUGAGUCAUAGACAUGUUUUUUAUGCUGUAAUUCUAUUUUCUUGUAACUUGUUAAGAAGCACUCAGAGCAUUACCUUGUGUGUAUAUUAUAACGACUUCGAUUAUAAUAAUGUCUAAAAUUAAAAU
Molecule: long non-coding RNA, 673 nt
Filed under: Phaseolus vulgaris (common bean)
Lineage: Eukaryota; Viridiplantae; Streptophyta; Magnoliopsida; Fabales; Fabaceae
Description: long non-coding RNA (PVUL_LNC004302)
Source: RNAcentral